ACAUGCAAGUCGAGCGAAUGGAUUAAGAGCUUGCUCUUAUGAAGUUAGCGGCGGACGGGUGAGUAACACGUGGGUAACCUGCCCAUAAGACUGGGAUAACUCCGGGAAACCGGGGCUAAUACCGGAUAACAUUUUGAACCGCAUGGUUCGAAAUUGAAAGGCGGCUUCGGCUGUCACUUAUGGAUGGACCCGCGUCGCAUUAGCUAGUUGGUGAGGUAACGGCUCACCAAGGCAACGAUGCGUAGCCGACCUGAGAGGGUGAUCGGCCACACUGGGACUGAGACACGGCCCAGACUCCUACGGGAGGCAGCAGUAGGGAAUCUUCCGCAAUGGACGAAAGUCUGACGGAGCAACGCCGCGUGAGUGAUGAAGGCUUUCGGGUCGUAAAACUCUGUUGUUAGGGAAGAACAAGUGCUAGUUGAAUAAGCUGGCACCUUGACGGUACCUAACCAGAAAGCCACGGCUAACUACGUGCCAGCAGCCGCGGUAAUACGUAGGUGGCAAGCGUUAUCCGGAAUUAUUGGGCGUAAAGCGCGCGCAGGUGGUUUCUUAAGUCUGAUGUGAAAGCCCACGGCUCAACCGUGGAGGGUCAUUGGAAACUGGGAGACUUGAGUGCAGAAGAGGAAAGUGGAAUUCCAUGUGUAGCGGUGAAAUGCGUAGAGAUAUGGAGGAACACCAGUGGCGAAGGCGACUUUCUGGUCUGUAACUGACACUGAGGCGCGAAAGCGUGGGGAGCAAACAGGAUUAGAUACCCUGGUAGUCCACGCCGUAAACGAUGAGUGCUAAGUGUUAGAGGGUUUCCGCCCUUUAGUGCUGAAGUUAACGCAUUAAGCACUCCGCCUGGGGAGUACGGCCGCAGGGCUGAAACUCAAAGGAAUUGACGGCGGCCCGCACAACCGGUGGAGCAUGUGGUUUAAUUCAAAGCAACGCGAAGAAACUUACCAGGUCGUGACAUCCUCUGACAACCCUACAGAUAGGGCUUCUCCUUCCGGAGCAGAAUAACAGGUGGUGCAUGGUUGUCUUCACCUCCUGUCCUGAAAUGU
RNAcentral lists this ribosomal RNA (1043 nucleotides) under Bacillus albus. RNAcentral describes it as "bacterial SSU rRNA". It matches the Rfam family "Bacterial small subunit ribosomal RNA", at positions 53 to 1075 of the family's 1533-position model. The record is from RNAcentral. Lineage: Bacteria; Bacillati; Bacillota; Bacilli; Caryophanales; Bacillaceae.